Molecule: ribosomal RNA, 200 nt
Filed under: uncultured bacterium
Lineage: Bacteria
Description: partial 16S ribosomal RNA
Rfam family: Bacterial small subunit ribosomal RNA
Source: RNAcentral
GAUGAACGCUAGCGGCAGGCCUAAUACAUGCAAGUCGAGGGGCAGCACAGGUAGCAAUACUGGGUGGCGACCGGCAAACGGGUGCGGAACACGUACGUAACCUUCCUUUAAGUGGGAGAUAGCCCGAAGAAAUUCGGAUUAAUACCCCAUAAGAUUGUGGAGUGGCAUCACUCAGCAAUUAAAGAACUUCGCUUAAAGAU